UACGUAUGGUGCAAGCGUUGUUCGGAAUCAUUGGGCGUAAAGGGUAUGUAGGCGGAUAUGUAAGUCAGAUGUGAAAACUACGAGCUCAACUCGUAGCCUGCAUUUGAUACUGUGUAUCUAGAAUUUGGGAGAGGCAAGGGGAAUUCCUGGUGUAGCGGUGAAAUGCGUAGAUAUCAGGAGGAACACCGGUGGCGUAAGCGCCUUGCUGGCCUAAAAUUGACGCUGAGAUACGAAAGUGUGGGGAGUGAACGGG
Molecule: ribosomal RNA, 253 nt
Filed under: uncultured bacterium
Lineage: Bacteria
Description: partial 16S ribosomal RNA
Rfam family: Bacterial small subunit ribosomal RNA
Source: RNAcentral